AAUCAUGAGAUGAUCGCGCAGGAUAAUAAGUCCUGUGAGGAAAGUCCUGGCUGGCGCAAGCUGAGAGGCGAUUUACGCAAGGUGUGGAGCCUGCUUGCAGAGAAAGUGCUUGACGCAAGUCAAGGUAGGGCAACCUAACGGCAGGGAAAAUAACUUUUAUAGUUAUGAUUACCUUUAAAGUGCUAUAGUGACGAUGCUGCCUGGCGACAGGCAGAGUGAGACGACGUAAACCCCACUUUGCCAGAAACCCUCUGAGAGGGGAACUUUCCAAAGGGAAUUCAACUGGAGGAAAGCACAAUCUUUUGAUUGUGAGAAAGAUGAUCAUCCUAGACAGAACCAGGCUUAUUAUG
This 350-nucleotide RNase P RNA is filed under the name Clostridia bacterium. RNAcentral's name for it is "RNase P RNA component class B". It matches the Rfam family "Bacterial RNase P class B". Rfam says of the family: Ribonuclease P (RNase P) is a ubiquitous endoribonuclease, found in archaea, bacteria and eukarya as well as chloroplasts and mitochondria. Its best characterised activity is the generation of mature 5'-ends of tRNAs by cleaving the 5'-leader elements of precursor-tRNAs. Cellular RNase Ps are ribonucleoproteins. The record is from RNAcentral. RNAcentral also lists the same sequence under 1 other name. Lineage: Bacteria; Bacillati; Bacillota; Clostridia.